GACGAACGCUGGCGGCGUGCUUAACACAUGCAAGUCGAACGGAAAGGCACUGAUUUUGUGCGGUUCUCGAGUGGCGAACGCGUGAGUAACACGUGUGUAACCUGCCCUUCACUUUGGGAUAACUUCAGGAAACUGGGGCUAAUACCGGAUAGGAUCUCCUGCUGCAUGGUGGGCGUUGGAAAGUUUCGGCGGUUGGGGAUAGACUCGCGGCUUACCAGCUUGCUGGUGGGGUAGUGGCUUACCAAGGCUGUGACGGGUAGCCGGCCUGAGAGAGUGACCGGCCACACUGGGACUGAGAGACGGCACAGACUGCUACGGGAGGCAGCAGUGGGGAAUAUUGCACAAUGGGCGGAAGCCUGAUGCAGCAGCGCCGCGUGCGGGAAGACGGCCUUCGGGUUGAAAACAGCUUUCGCCUGUGACGAAGCGGUAGUGACGGUAAUGGAUAAAGAAGCACCGGCUAACUACGUG
RNAcentral lists this ribosomal RNA (468 nucleotides) under uncultured bacterium. RNAcentral describes it as "partial 16S ribosomal RNA". It matches the Rfam family "Bacterial small subunit ribosomal RNA", at positions 28 to 507 of the family's 1533-position model. The record is from RNAcentral.